This 311-nucleotide ribosomal RNA is filed under the name Lorica volvox. Its description in RNAcentral is "eukaryotic LSU rRNA". It matches the Rfam family "Eukaryotic large subunit ribosomal RNA", at positions 666 to 946 of the family's 3401-position model. The record is from RNAcentral. Lineage: Eukaryota; Metazoa; Mollusca; Polyplacophora; Chitonida; Loricidae.
CCAAGGAGUCUAACAUGUGCGCGAGUCAUUGGGUCGCUCCAAACCUAAAGGCGCAAUGAAAGUGAAGGCAGCCUCGGGUUUGCCCAGGUAGGAUCCUGGGCCUCUUUUCGGCCGGGGCGCACUACCGGCCCGCCGCGUCUGCCUCGCAGGGCGGCGGAGCAGGAGCGCACACGUUGGGACCCGAAAGAUGGUGAACUAUGCCUGAGUAGGACGAAGCCAGAGGAAACUCUGGUGGAAGUCCGUAGCGGUUCUGACGUGCAAAUCGAUCGUCGAACUUGGGUAUAGGGGCGAAAGACUAAUCGAACCAUCUA